GAAUUGACGGGGGCCGCACAAGCGGUGGAGCAUGUGGUUUAAUUCGAUGCAACGCGAAAAACCUUACCUACCCUUGACAUCCAGCGAAGUUCUUAGAGAUAGGAAUGUGCCUUCGGGAACGCUGUGACAGGUGCUGCAUGGCUGUCGUCAGCUCGUGUCGUGAGAUGUUGGGUUAAGUCCCGUAACGAGCGCAACCCCUAUCCUUAGUUGCCAGCACUUCGGGUGGGAACUCUAAGGAGACUGCCGGUGAUAAACCGGAGGAAGGUGGGGACGAGGUCAAGUCAUCAUGGCCCUUAUGGGUAGGGCUACACACGUGCUACAAUGGGUGGUACAGAGGGUCGCCAAAGCGCGAGGUGGAGCCAAACCCCUAAAACCACUCGUAGUCCGGAUUGGAGUCUGCAACUCGACUCCAUGAAGUUGGAAUCGCUAGUAAUCGCGAAUCAGCAUGUCGCGGUGAAUACGUUCUCGGGCCUU
This 474-nucleotide ribosomal RNA is filed under the name uncultured Gammaproteobacteria bacterium. RNAcentral describes it as "bacterial SSU rRNA". It matches the Rfam family "Bacterial small subunit ribosomal RNA", at positions 907 to 1382 of the family's 1533-position model. Lineage: Bacteria; Pseudomonadati; Pseudomonadota; Gammaproteobacteria. The record is from RNAcentral.